Molecule: ribosomal RNA, 468 nt
Filed under: uncultured bacterium
Lineage: Bacteria
Description: partial 16S ribosomal RNA
Rfam family: Bacterial small subunit ribosomal RNA
Source: RNAcentral
GACGAACGCUGGCGGCGUGCUUAACACAUGCAAGUCGAACGGAAAGGCCCUGCUUUUGUGGGGUGCUCGAGUGGCGAACGGGUGAGUAACACGUGAGUAACCUGCCCUUGACUUUGGGAUAACUUCAGGAAACUGGGGCUAAUACCGGAUAGGAGCUCCUGCUGCAUGGUGGGGGUUGGAAAGUUUCGGCGGUUGGGGCUGGACGCGCGGCUUAUCAGCUUGUUGGUGGGGUAGUGGCUUACCAAGGCUUUGACGGGUAGCCGGCCUGCGAGGGUGACCGGCCACAUUGGGACUGAGAUACGGCCCAGCCUCCUCCGGGAGGCAGCAGUGGGGAAUAUUGCACAAUGGGAGGAAGCCUGAUGCAGCAACGCCGCGUGCGGGAUGACGGCCUUCGGGUUGUAAACCGCUUUCGCCUGUGACGAAGCGUGAGUGACGGUAAUGGGUAAAGAAGCACCGGCUAACUACGUG